RNAcentral lists this ribosomal RNA (253 nucleotides) under uncultured bacterium. RNAcentral's name for it is "partial 16S ribosomal RNA". It matches the Rfam family "Bacterial small subunit ribosomal RNA", at positions 524 to 776 of the family's 1533-position model. The record is from RNAcentral.
UACAGAGGUGGCAAGCGUUGUUCGGAAUUACUGGGCGUAAAGGGCGCGUAGGCGGCCUUCUAAGUCAGACGUGAAAUCCCCCGGCUUAACCUGGGAACUGCGUCUGAUACUGGAGGGCUUGAGUGCGGGAGAGGGAUGUGGAAUUCCAGGUGUAGCGGUGAAAUGCGUAGAUAUCUGGAGGAACACCGGUGGCGAAGGCGGGUCUCUGGGCCGUAACUGACGCUGAGGAGCGAAAGCAUGGGGAGCGAACAGG